GGUGAAGUGCCCGAGCGGCCAAAGGGGGCGGACUGUAAAUCCGCUGGCAGAUUGCCUUCAUAGGUUCGAAUCCUUUCUUCACCACCA
RNAcentral lists this transfer RNA (87 nucleotides) under Tepiditoga sp. RNAcentral's name for it is "tRNA-Tyr". It matches the Rfam family "tRNA". From Rfam's summary of the family: Transfer RNA (tRNA) molecules are approximately 80 nucleotides in length. Lineage: Bacteria; Thermotogati; Thermotogota; Thermotogae; Petrotogales; Petrotogaceae. RNAcentral also lists the same sequence under 1 other name. The record is from RNAcentral.